GCCCAGAGCAGAGCAGGUGGCCAAAGCCACGCAGAGCCACGUCAAGGAACAAGCUCCAGCAGCCUGGAAAUUCUCUCUGUAAGGCAAGCAGGGGCUGGGACUUUUCUGCUGAGAGAUAAGGAGGUCAUCGACAGCCCCUCAGGUCACCUCUAUUACAUGUUUAAUUUCCUGGAUGUUGCAAAUAUUUUUUCUAUUUUCACCAGCUCCUCAAUUAAACAUAAAAGAAGAUCUUUUGGGCAGUGCUUUCCAAGCAUUCAAACGGGGGCUGCAGCUUCAUUCCAGCUAUCCCAUCCAUGUGUGAGGCAGAAAUCAUGUCCAGCAGCCUUCCCAGAGGAAGCUUCCAGACCUUUUUGCUCUCACAUUCCACACUAACUUAGGAGGUUACAGGUGUGCAGCUGCUCUGGCAAUGUGUGCCAGGGGAGCAGGAGAGCUGUGGAGGCUUCCCUGGGGACCCUGACCUGCCCCUGCCUGCUGUGCCCACCGAGGACACGAGGAACGCAUUAGAUGACAAGAUUGGAGUGUUCUUAUCUGUCCUGUAGUUCUUUCUCCCUCUGAUAAUGGCAACAUAUUUAAGAACCCAAAGAGACUUAACUAAAAUUGCAUCUUUUGUUGAUAAGCACUUAAA
Molecule: long non-coding RNA, 625 nt
Organism: Haemorhous mexicanus (house finch)
Lineage: Eukaryota; Metazoa; Chordata; Aves; Passeriformes; Fringillidae
Exons: 2
Source: RefSeq, a predicted model, not a curated record